Molecule: long non-coding RNA, 432 nt
Filed under: Musa acuminata (dwarf banana)
Lineage: Eukaryota; Viridiplantae; Streptophyta; Magnoliopsida; Zingiberales; Musaceae
Description: long non-coding RNA (MACU_LNC008473)
Source: RNAcentral
GAGUCUUAAGUAAGAGUCCUAUUAGGAGUUAGGGUUUAGAAGCCCUAUAAAUAAUCAUAUAUUCCACCUCUUUUCAUAAGCAAUAGAUGAAUCUUUUCUGCAGCCUUUGAGCAGCAACUUGGAGGGAGGAACCCCUAUAGAGUUCCAAGGAGGCCGAUCCCCUAAAGAGAUUAAUCCCAAGUUAAGAAUCUGUAAGGGUUCUAUCACCUGGUAUCAGAGCAACAUUCUUGGCGUCUCGCUACCCUUCCAUAGCCAUCCAUCAACCAUCCACAAUCGCCCAAAGCAAUUCCCACAAUUGCUUAAGAGAUCGUUGCCAAAUUCCACCGUCAUCUCCACCACCACGGAUCAUCCUUUGAUCUCCCCGUGAAUUGCAACAAGUUCUGGUUUUCUACCUUACUGCUGCUGCAAUUUAGUUAUCCUUAUUUAAAAAUC